This 228-nucleotide unclassified non-coding RNA is filed under the name uncultured fungus. RNAcentral's name for it is "sequence contains ITS1". Lineage: Eukaryota; Fungi. The record is from RNAcentral.
UUGUGCCUCUCCUUGACCCCCGGGGUAAUAGCCGGGAUCCGACUCAAGGUUGAGGUUCAAAAUUUGCGGACCUGUACUCCGAUCUGUUGCCUUUAUUGGGACAGGGGUGAGAGGGUUGGCUGUAUCCUUGCUUUUAUUAAAGGGAGUGUUUGUUUCUUUGGCUGGUUUGCCUGCCAUAAUAAAACCCUUGUAAUUUUGAAUUUCUAUCAUAUAAUAUCCCAAAUAUUA